AACCUUUGCAAAAAUUAAACUGGUUUCAGUUUUGCUCCCUGUUUGAUUUACAAAAUCACACCUGUUUAAAAAUACUCUGCAGCCGCCUACCUUCUUUUAGUCAUGCAUUUUGCAAAAAAACAUUUCUGCCAAAAGCUGCUGAAUUGAUGACACUCCAUGUGAAACUUAGGCAUCCUUUUGCUACAUAUUGGCCAAUAAGAAUUAAAGUAGUGAAAGCAAACUCUCCAGGUUGUGUGUGUGUUCAUAAGUGAAAGAUUUAUGUGGGGAGGACCCAGAAGGCAGGAGAAAUGUCUGAGACCUCACAGAUCAGCACCCCACCCAGGGAUUUAAAAGAUAUCUGUGUACUGGCAACAACUUUCAACAGAGUAAUCCAUCAGCAAUGAAGAAAAAUAGCUAAAAAUGGUACUUUCUUUUACAAAUAACUUCUCUUUGUUUCACUUGUCACAGUUGUGAAUGAAAGACCCACACUUUCUUACCUGAUAAGCUUCCUGCUUUAUUACAAUUGCUGUUUAUUCACCUCUUUAAUUAUCUGUCUUGAACCUUUCUCAUUCUUGGGUUGUAAAUUUGUGAGAAGCUGAAAAGUAAAAGUUCUAACCCAUUUUAUAUGUGAAUAAUUGUGGAAUCUUAUCAUUAAAAUACAAUUUAUCAGCAAA
Long non-coding RNA from Xiphophorus hellerii (green swordtail), 653 nucleotides. RefSeq lists it as uncharacterized. The record is from RefSeq and is a predicted model, not a curated record. The transcript is spliced from 2 exons. Lineage: Eukaryota; Metazoa; Chordata; Actinopteri; Cyprinodontiformes; Poeciliidae.